Molecule: long non-coding RNA, 1345 nt
Organism: Anolis carolinensis (green anole)
Lineage: Eukaryota; Metazoa; Chordata; Lepidosauria; Squamata; Anolidae
Exons: 4
Source: RefSeq, a predicted model, not a curated record
GCUAGUAGGCGGGGCGUGCCUCCGGGCGCGCUGACGUCACGCCCCGCCCCCUUCCUGCCCCAAUCCCAAGCAGAGGGCGCUCCGGCGGAAGCCAUGAAUGCCUCACAACCUCUGAGGAUGCCUGCCAUGGGUGUGGGCGAAACGUCAGGAGAGAAUGCUUCUGGAACAUGGCCAGACAGUCCGGAAACACACAACAACCAUUCCUUCCUGGAGGCCUUAAUGAAAGAUAUAAGGACAAAGGAUGCCAUUGCCUAAAAUGACAGGAAAGGGAGUCCGGGGAGCCCACUCUAUUGCCACCAAUGGGCUGGAUCUAGCCGUAUUUUCUGGCUGUGCAAUAUUCAAGGCAACAGAGCACCGCUAGCCUUUAGAUCGGUGGAGCCGAUGCAUAAAGCUGCCCGGCAGAACCCUAAGGAGUCCCCAUCUAACCUGAAGACGAUCCUGAAAGUCGGUGCAAGAGGACCCACAACGUGGCCCGAGGUCAAACCAGGAGCAGCCUCCUUCUGCCGAGAGUGUAUUUACAAACUGUAGCUGCCUCAUUUUUUUUCCUUGUGUCAUUUCAUUAUUACAGAGCUGAGAUCACUAGCCAUCUGCAGCUUCAUUUCAUCAGGCUCCGGUUUGUCCUUGGAGCAAAGUCAUCUGGGACGAACGGUAGAAAGAGAGACGGGAGCGAGGGAGGGGGACUGCGCUGCUCUCCCCGCUGACAGUGCUUUAUGCCUUACUGGAAACACACCUUUCUCCCACUGCUUUGUAGAAUUUAACCACUUCACUUUCUUGGAAGUGAGGGAAACCGUCUCCAUUAUUUAACGGUUGCACAACAACACUGUCUCUGAAACAAUUAAUAAUGUUUACCUGCAGACAACAGUAACACUUCAAAGCCGCACUUGAUAAAACCUUGGAAAUGGCUCAUGACUUCGAAGGGUCAAGAAGGAGGCUCCACACUGAACCAUAUGCUCCAAGCUCCUCUGUGGUGGAAGGGCAGCCGAGGAGAGGAACGGUUCAGCACUGCGGAUGAUGCACCAAAACUGCCAGCUGCAAAAUAUGAUCUUACAGCGGUGGAUACAGAGCUCAUAAAACACCGCUCGGAUACACGCUUGUGUGCCAAAAUCGAUGGGACUUUUAGGACUGUUCUCUUGGUAGAGCACGUCCAAUGAGAUCAGUGUUGCAAGGCCACGGCCAAACAGGUCUGUCUCUCAAGGUGAGGCCGAGAGGCAGGAGGGACCCCGUUUCGGUCCUCUAAACCCUUCCCAUUUUGCAUGUCAUUUGGUCUCUAAUGGCUACUCUGCCGAUUUCCAAGGCCCUGGAAAAGGAAAGAAUGGGUAGCAUCCUGUGUGGGAUUUCCAUUUGC